UACCAAAGGCCGGGCAACCGGUCACUGAAGGAUGGGCCUGCGUCUGAUUAGCUAGUUGGUGGGGUAACGGCCCACCAAGGCGACGAUCAGUAGCCGGUCUGAGAGGAUGAACGGCCACAUUGGGACUGAGACACGGCCCAAACUCCUACGGGAGGCAGCAGUGGGGAAUCUUCCGCAAUGGGCGCAAGCCUGACGGAGCAACGCCGCGUGAGUGAAGAAGGUUUUCGGAUCGUAAAGCUCUGUUGAGAGGGACGAGAGGCAAGGCUAGGAAAUGAGCUUUGUAGGACGGUACCUUUCGAGGAAGCCACGGCUAACUACGUGCCAGCAGCCGCGGUAAUACGUAGGUGGCGAGCGUUGUCCGGAAUUAUUGGGCGUAAAGGGAGCGCAGGUGGGAAAGUAAGUCAGUCUUAAAAGUGCGGGGCUCGACCCCGUGAGGGGAUUGAAACUACUUUUCUUGAGUGCAGGAGAGGAAAGCGGAAUUCCUAGUGUAGCGGUGAAAUGCGUAGAUAUUAGGAGGAACACCAGUGGCGAAGGCGGCUUUCUGGACUGUAACUGACACUGAGGCUCGAAAGCCAGGGGAGCGAACGGGAUUAGAUACCCCGGUAGUCCUGGCCGUAAACGAUGGAUACUAGGUGUAGGAGGUAUCGACCCC
Molecule: ribosomal RNA, 652 nt
Filed under: uncultured bacterium
Lineage: Bacteria
Description: bacterial SSU rRNA
Rfam family: Bacterial small subunit ribosomal RNA
Source: RNAcentral